RNAcentral lists this ribosomal RNA (568 nucleotides) under uncultured bacterium. RNAcentral describes it as "partial 16S ribosomal RNA". It matches the Rfam family "Bacterial small subunit ribosomal RNA", at positions 355 to 912 of the family's 1533-position model. The record is from RNAcentral.
UGGGGAAUAUUGCACAAUGGGCGCAAGCCUGAUGCAGCCAUGCCGCGUGUGUGAAGAAGGCCUUCGGGUUGUAAAGCACUUUCAGCGAGGAGGAAGGUGGUGAGCUUAAUACGCUCAUCAAUUGACGUUACUCGCAGAAGAAGCACCGGCUAACUCCGUGCCAGCAGCCGCGGUAAUACGGAGGGUGCAAGCGUUAAUCGGAAUUACUGGGCGUAAAGCGCACGCAGGCGGUUUGUUAAGUCAGAUGUGAAAUCCCCGGGCUCAACCUGGGAACUGCAUUUGAAACUGGCAAGCUAGAGUCUCGUAGAGGGGGGUAGAGUUCCAGGUGUAGCGGUGAAAUGCGUAGAGAUCUGGAGGAAUACCGGUGGCGAAGGCGGCCCCCUGGACGAAGACUGACGCUCAGGUGCGAAAGCGUGGGGAGCAAAACAGGAUUAGAUACCCUGGUAGUCCACGCUGUAAAACGAUGUCGAUUUUGGAGGUUGUGCCCUUGAGGCGUGGCUUCCGGAGCUAACGCGUUAAAUCGACCGCCUGGGGAGUACGGCCGCAAGGUUAAAACUCAAAUGAAUUG